Stegostoma tigrinum is the source of this 589-nucleotide long non-coding RNA. RefSeq lists it as uncharacterized. The transcript is spliced from 5 exons. NCBI's taxonomy places the organism in Eukaryota, Metazoa, Chordata, Chondrichthyes, Orectolobiformes, Stegostomatidae. The record is from RefSeq and is a predicted model, not a curated record.
UGUGAUUAGAUGGGCAUCCAUUCUGGAGACAGCACAGAAGUGAUGGGCCGAUUGGUUCCCAUCUGAGCUGUGAAAGUUGAUAACAAAUGGACAGAAUUGAGGGUUGUGGUUUGAUUAGUGUCGGACCACUCUACUGAUUAACAGGAUGCCAACAUUAUUGACGUCAGCAUGUACUGCUCAUUUCUUAUUGUCCUUGAGAAGGUGGCACCCAGAAGGAAAAACUAGCAAAGCUGGUAGUGAGCUGCCAACUUAACCUAGCACAGUCCACGGCAGUAUGUGCGCCCACAGUGCAGUUUCUGGAGCGCAGCAACAACGAGGGAACAUCACUACAGUUUCAAUUCACCCUGAUUUGUGCCUUAAAAUCAUUAGGCAAUAGAUGUAUGAGCAGAUAUACACCAUUCAGGCCCUGGAUGUGAGUUUGUUCGCUGAGCUGGAAGUCUCUAGGAUACAGGGCAGUGAGAAGGGAACAGAGCCACUAAUCCUUUCAAACGGCAAACUUAGCCCUGAACUGCUUCCUGGUCUUGGCAUUUCUGAAUGAAUGGAGGCACCUCAAGAAGUUGAACACCUCUCCUAAAUCACCUCUUCACCU